Molecule: ribosomal RNA, 361 nt
Filed under: Escherichia coli
Lineage: Bacteria; Pseudomonadati; Pseudomonadota; Gammaproteobacteria; Enterobacterales; Enterobacteriaceae
Description: partial 23S ribosomal RNA
Rfam family: Bacterial large subunit ribosomal RNA
Source: RNAcentral
CGCCAUUUAAAGUGGUACGCGAGCUGGGUUUAGAACGUCGUGAGACAGUUCGGUCCCUAUCUGCCGUGGGCGCUGGAGAACUGAGGGGGGCUGCUCCUAGUACGAGAGGACCGGAGUGGACGCAUCACUGGUGUUCGGGUUGUCAUGCCAAUGGCACUGCCCGGUAGCUAAAUGCGGAAGAGAUAAGUGCUGAAAGCAUCUAAGCACGAAACUUGCCCCGAGAUGAGUUCUCCCUGACUCCUUGAGAGUCCUGAAGGAACGUUGAAGACGACGACGUUGAUAGGCCGGGUGUGUAAGCGCAGCGAUGCGUUGAGCUAACCGGUACUAAUGAACCGUGAGGCUUAACCUUACAACGCCGAAG